Molecule: non-coding RNA, 86 nt
Organism: Beta vulgaris subsp. vulgaris (sugar beet)
Lineage: Eukaryota; Viridiplantae; Streptophyta; Magnoliopsida; Caryophyllales; Amaranthaceae
Source: Rfam
GUAUGCCUGGCUCCCUGUAUGCCAUUCGCAGAGCCCAUCGAAUAAUCGAUGACCUCCAUGGAUGGCGUAUGAGGAGCCAAGCAUAC